AACGAACGCUGGCGGCAUGCCUAACACAUGCAAGUCGAACGACGGCUUCGGACUUAGUGGCGCACGGGUGCGUAACGCGGGGGAAUCUGCCCUUGGGUACGGAAUAACUCAGAGGAAUAUGUGCUAAUACCGAAUAAUGUCUUCGAACCAAAGAUUUAUCGCCAAAGGAUGAGCCGGCGUAAGAUUAGCUAGGUGGUGGGGUAAAAGUCUACCAAGGCGACGAGCUGUAGCGGGUCUGAGAGGAGGACCAGCCACACUGGGCCUGAGACACGGCCCAGACUCCUACGGGGGGCAGCAGUGGGGAAUCUUGGACGAUGGGCGCAAGCCUGAUCCAGCCAUUCCGCGUGCAGGACGAAGGCGUUCGGGUUGUAGAGUGCUGUUGUAUGGAACGAAAAGGCUCUGGCUAAUACCGGGGGCUCAUGACGGUACCGUAAGAAUAAGCACCGGCUAACUACGUG
This 458-nucleotide ribosomal RNA is filed under the name uncultured bacterium. Its description in RNAcentral is "partial 16S ribosomal RNA". It matches the Rfam family "Bacterial small subunit ribosomal RNA", at positions 29 to 507 of the family's 1533-position model. The record is from RNAcentral.